RNAcentral lists this ribosomal RNA (468 nucleotides) under uncultured bacterium. Its description in RNAcentral is "partial 16S ribosomal RNA". It matches the Rfam family "Bacterial small subunit ribosomal RNA", at positions 28 to 507 of the family's 1533-position model. The record is from RNAcentral.
GACGAACGCUGGCGGCGUGCUUAACACAUGCAAGUCGAACGGAAAGGCCCUGCUUUUGUGGGGUGCUCGAGUGGCGAACGGGUGAGUAACACGUGAGUAACCUGCCCUUGACUUUGGGAUAACUUCAGGAAACUGGGGCUAAUACCGGAUAGGAGCUCCUGCUGCAUGGUGGGGGUUGGAAAGUUUCGGCGGUUGGGGAUGGACUCGCGGCUUAUCAGCUUGUUGGUGGGGUAGUGGCUUACCAAGGCUUUGACGGGUAGCCGGCCUGAGAGGGUGACCGGCCACAUUGGGACUGAGAUACGGCCCAGACUCCUACGGGAGGCAGCAGCGGGGAAUAUUGCACAAUGGGCGGAAGCCUGAUGCAGCAACGCCGCGUGCGGGAUGACGGCCUUCGGGUUGUAAACCGCUUUCGCCUGUGACGAAGCGUGAGUGACGGUAAUGAGUAAAGAAGCACCGGCUAACUACGUG